AUACUUACCUGGCAGGGGAGAUACCAUGAUCAAGAAGGUGGUUUUCCCAGGGCAAUGCUUAUCCAUUGCACUCCAGAUAUGCUGACCCCUGCAAUUUCCCCAAAUUUGGGAAUCUCGACUGCAUAAUUUGUGGUAAUGGGGGACUGUGUUGGUACUCUCCCCUG
This 164-nucleotide small nuclear RNA is filed under the name Carlito syrichta (Philippine tarsier). RNAcentral describes it as "U1 spliceosomal RNA (ENSTSYG00000030232.1)". It matches the Rfam family "U1 spliceosomal RNA". Rfam says of the family: U1 is a small nuclear RNA (snRNA) component of the spliceosome (involved in pre-mRNA splicing). Lineage: Eukaryota; Metazoa; Chordata; Mammalia; Primates; Tarsiidae. The record is from Rfam by way of RNAcentral.